UACGGAGGGGACUAGCGUUGUUCGGAAUUACUGGGCGUAAAGCGUGCGCAGGCGGUUUUGUAAGUCUGUCGUGAAAUCCCCGGGCUCAACCUGGGAAUUGCGAUGGAGACUGCAAGGCUAGAAUCUGGCAGAGGGGGGUAGAAUUCCACGUGUAGCAGUGAAAUGCGUAGAGAUGUGGAGGAACACCGAUGGCGAAGGCAGCCCCCUGGGUCAAGAUUGACGCUCAUGCACGAAAGCAUGGGGAGCAAACAGG
RNAcentral lists this ribosomal RNA (253 nucleotides) under uncultured bacterium. Its description in RNAcentral is "partial 16S ribosomal RNA". It matches the Rfam family "Bacterial small subunit ribosomal RNA", at positions 524 to 776 of the family's 1533-position model. The record is from RNAcentral.